This 1075-nucleotide long non-coding RNA is filed under the name Equus caballus (horse). RNAcentral's name for it is "lncRNA (ENSECAG00000043824.1)". Lineage: Eukaryota; Metazoa; Chordata; Mammalia; Perissodactyla; Equidae. The record is from RNAcentral.
GAUUGAAGCACCACCUUCCUUGAAAAGCUCUGUAGCUCCAUAGUGGCUGUCCUUCCAGAUUGAAAGAUGCUGCUAUUUAUCCAGUCUCUCUGAUUUCAAUGAGCCAAACAGAGCAUCACUUAACAAGGAGGAGCAAGAUGGGUAAGAUAACUGUGAUGGGCAGCAGGACCAAAGUGAAUAUCAACAUGGUUUGACUGUAAGACUCUUUGAUAUGGGCUAAUUGAUGAAGGGCUGUGAUAGAUGGGCAGUUUGCUAAGUUUCUACUUGAUUUGUAUAACACCAGUAAAAACUUCCUACAUCUGGUGAACAGAGGCCUGCCUUGAGUCAACAUAAAGAAGCUAAGGCUUCUCAUCCAAUUUCCAGGCCUGGGUCACUAAACAGACCCAUAGCCCCUGAAUAAAGGUCAGAUGAGGUAGAUUUUAGGAGGGAUUUUGCAAUAGUAUUACAGGUAUAAAUCUUCCUAGAAGAUUCCUAGGAAGCCUACUCCAAACAGCCUUGGGUCAUUUAUCAAGAAGUGAUGGUUAAUUUUAUGUCUCACCUUGACUGGGCAAAGGGAUGCCCAGAUAGCUGGUAAAAUAUUAUUUGUGGAUGUGUCUGUGACGGUGUUUCUAGAAGAGGUUAGCAUUUGAAUCAGUAGACUGAGCAAAGAAGAUCCACCCUCACCAACUUGGGUGGGCAUCAUCCAACCCAUUGAGGACCCAAAUAGAACAAAAAAGGUAGAGGAAGGGUAAAUUCUCCCUCUCUCUUCUUGAGCCUGGAAAUCCAUCUUUUACACUCAAACAUUGGAGCUCCUUGUUUUCAGGCCUUCAUACUCAGGCUGAAGGCCUCAUACUGGGAGUUAAACCAUCAGUUUCCCUAGUUCUCAGGCUCUAAGACUCAGAAGUAUACUACUGGCUUUCCUGGUUCUCCAGCUUGCAGAUGGCAGGUUGUAGCAAAUCUCAGCCCCUACACUCAUGUGAGCCAAUUCCCAUAAUAAAUCUCCUCCUAUAAACCUCUGUAUAUCCUACUGGUUCUGUUUCUCUGGAGAACCCUAUACACAGAGUAACUAUGUAGUGGAGAAAAGGGAGCCACAUGG